AACGCACAUUGCGCCCGCCAGUAUUCUGGCGGGCAUGCCUGUUCGAGCGUCAUUUCAACCAUCAAGCCCCGCGCUUGUGUUGGGGACCUGCGGCUGCCGCAGGCCCUGAAAACCAGUGGCGGGCUCGCUGUCACACCGAGCGUAGUAGAUUUCUCAUCUCGCUCAGGGCGUGCUGCGGGUUCCGGCCGUAAAAAAGCCUUAUUUUACCCAAGGUUGACCUCGGAUCAGGUAGGAAGACCCGCUGAACUUAA
RNAcentral lists this unclassified non-coding RNA (251 nucleotides) under uncultured Sordariales. RNAcentral's name for it is "sequence contains 5.8S rRNA gene, ITS2, 28S rRNA gene". The stretch from base 1 to 52 matches the Rfam family "5.8S ribosomal RNA", at positions 103 to 154 of the family's 154-position model. Lineage: Eukaryota; Fungi; Ascomycota; Sordariomycetes; Sordariales. The record is from RNAcentral.